Molecule: transfer RNA, 75 nt
Filed under: Mustela putorius furo (domestic ferret)
Lineage: Eukaryota; Metazoa; Chordata; Mammalia; Carnivora; Mustelidae
Rfam family: tRNA
About the family: Transfer RNA (tRNA) molecules are approximately 80 nucleotides in length. Their secondary structure includes four short double-helical elements and three loops (D, anti-codon, and T loops).
Source: Rfam by way of RNAcentral
GCCUCGUUAGCUUAGUGGUAGAGCAUGUGACUUUUGAUCUCAAAAGGCUUGGGAUUUCAAGCCCCACAUUGGGUA